This 301-nucleotide ribosomal RNA is filed under the name uncultured bacterium. Its description in RNAcentral is "partial 16S ribosomal RNA". It matches the Rfam family "Bacterial small subunit ribosomal RNA", at positions 509 to 807 of the family's 1533-position model. The record is from RNAcentral.
CAGCAGCCACGGUAACACGUAGGUGGCAAGCGUUGUCCGGAAUUAUUGGGCGUAAAGGGCUCGCAGGCGGUUUCUUAAGUCUGAUGUGAAAGCCCCCGGCUCGACCGGGGAGGGUCAUUGGAAACUGGGAAACUUGAGUGCAGAAGAGGAGAGUGGAAUUCCACGUGUAGCGGUGAAAUGCGUAGAGAUGUGGAGGAACACCAGUGGCGAAGGCGACUCUCUGGUCUGUAACUGACGCUGAGGAGCGAAAGCGUGGGGAGCGAACAGGAUUAGAGACCCCCGUAGUCCCUGUCUCUUAUAC